RNAcentral lists this ribosomal RNA (674 nucleotides) under uncultured Sebacinales. RNAcentral describes it as "eukaryotic LSU rRNA". It matches the Rfam family "Eukaryotic large subunit ribosomal RNA", at positions 10 to 665 of the family's 3401-position model. The record is from RNAcentral. Lineage: Eukaryota; Fungi; Basidiomycota; Agaricomycetes; Sebacinales.
AUCGGGUGGGACWCCCCGCUGAACUUAAGCAUAUCAAUAAGCGGAGGAAAAGAAACUAACAAGGAUUCCCCUAGUAACGGCGAGUGAAGAGGGAAAAGCUCAAAUUUUGAAUCUGGUGUCUUUGGCGCCCGAGUUGUAAUCUAGAGAAGUGUUUUCUGCCUCGGACCACACAUAAAUUCCCUGGAAUGGGGUGUCAUAGAGGGUGAGAAUCCCGUUUGUGGUGUGGACUACCUUGGCUCUGUGAUACACUCUCAACGAGUCGAGUUGUUUGGGAAUGCAGCUCAAAAUGGGUGGUAAAUUCCAUCUAAAGCUAAAUAUUGGCGAGAGACCGAUAGCGAACAAGUACCGUGAGGGAAAGAUGAAAAGCACUUUGGAAAGAGAGUGAAACAGUACGUGAAAUUGUUGAAAGGGAAGCGUUUGAAGUCAGUYGCAUUGGUCGGAACUCAGCCUGGCUUCUGCCUGGUGUAUUUUCUGGCAAAUGGGUCAGUGUCAAUUUUGAUCGAGAGAGAAAGACUUGAGGAAUGUGGCUGUCUUCGGGCAGUGUUAUAGCCUCUUGUUGUAUGUCUCGGUUGGGAUUGAGGAACGCAGCACGCCUUUUGGCCGGGGUUCGCGCCCUCGGUACGUGCUUAGGACACUGGCAUAAUGGCUUUAAGCGACCCGUCUUGAAACACGGA